Molecule: ribosomal RNA, 570 nt
Filed under: uncultured bacterium
Lineage: Bacteria
Description: partial 16S ribosomal RNA
Rfam family: Bacterial small subunit ribosomal RNA
Source: RNAcentral
UGGGGAAUUUUGGACAAUGGGCGAAGCCUGAUCCAGCAAUGCCGCGUGUGUGAAGAAGGCCUUCGGGUUGUAAAGCACUUUUGUCCGGAAAGAAAUCCUUGGCUCUAAUACAGUCGGGGGAUGACGGUACCGGAAGAAUAAGCACCGGCUAACUACGUGCCAGCAGCCGCGGUAAUACGUAGGGUGCAAGCGUUAAUCGGAAUUACUGGGCGUAAAGCGUGCGCAGGCGGUUUGCUAAGACCGAUGUGAAAUCCCCGGGCUCAACCUGGGAACUGCAUUGGUGACUGGCAGGCUAGAGUAUGGCAGAGGGGGGUAGAAUUCCACGUGUAGCAGUGAAAUGCGUAGAGAUGUGGAGGAAUACCGAUGGCGAAGGCAGCCCCCUGGGCCAAUACUGACGCUCAUGCACGAAAGCGUGGGGAGCAAAACAGGAUUAGAUACCCUGGUAGUCCACGCCCUAAAACGAUGUCAACUAGUUGUUGGGGAUUCAUUUCCUUAGUAACGUAGCUAACGCGUGAAGUUGACCGCCUGGGGAGUACGGUCGCAAGAUUAAAACUUAAAGGAAUUGACGGG